Molecule: ribosomal RNA, 615 nt
Filed under: uncultured bacterium
Lineage: Bacteria
Description: bacterial SSU rRNA
Rfam family: Bacterial small subunit ribosomal RNA
Source: RNAcentral
CCUACGGGAGGCAGCAGUGGGGAAUUUUGGACAAUGGGCGCAAGCCUGAUCCAGCAAUGCCGCGUGCAGGAUGAAGGCCUUCGGGUUGUAAACUGCUUUUGUACGGAGCGAAACGGUCUGCUUUAAUACAGUAGGCUAAUGACGGUACCGUAAGAAUAAGCACCGGCUAACUACGUGCCAGCAGCCGCGGUAAUACGUAGGGUGCGAGCGUUAAUCGGAAUUACUGGGCGUAAAGCGUGCGCAGGCGGUUAUAUAAGACAGAUGUGAAAUCCCCGGGCUCAACCUGGGACCUGCAUUUGUGACUGUAUAGCUAGAGUACGGUAGAGGGGGAUGGAAUUCCGCGUGUAGCAGUGAAAUGCGUAGAUAUGCGGAGGAACACCGAUGGCGAAGGCAAUCCCCUGGACCUGUACUGACGCUCAUGCACGAAAGCGUGGGGAGCAAACAGGAUUAGAUACCCUGGUAGUCCACGCCCUAAACGAUGUCAACUGGUUGUUGGGUCUUCACUGACUCAGUAACGAAGCUAACGCGUGAAGUUGACCGCCUGGGGAGUACGGCCGCAAGGUUGAACUUAAGGAAUUGACGGNUGAGAGNGCGAGACGACGACGAGGGAGGAGG